GCACAAGCGGUGGAGCAUGUGGUUCAAUUCGACGCAACGCGAAGAACCUUACCAGCUCUUGACAUGCCCGGUAUGGGGCCGAGAGAUCGGCUCCUUCAGUUCGGCUGGCCGGUGCACAGGUGCUGCAUGGCUGUCGUCAGCUCGUGUCGUGAGAUGUUGGGUUAAGUCCCGCAACGAGCGCAACCCUCACCUUCAGUUGCCAUCAGGUUAAGCUGGGCACUCUGAAGGAACUGCCGGUGACAAGCCGGAGGAAGGCGGGGAUGACGUCAAGUCCUCAUGGCCUUUAUGGGCUGGGCUACACACGUGCUACAAUGGCGGUGACAAUGGGACGCGAAGGGGCAACCCUUGGCCAAUCUCAAAAAGCCGUCUCAGUUCGGAUUGUCCUCUGCAACUCGAGGGCAUGAAGCUGGAAUCGCUAGUAAUCGCGGAUCAGCACGCCGCGGUGAAUACGUUCCCGGGCCUUGUACACACCGCCCGUCACACCAUGGGAGUUGGUUUUACCCGAAGGCGCUGCGCCAACCGCAAGGAGGCAGGCGACCACGGUAAGGUCAG
RNAcentral lists this ribosomal RNA (552 nucleotides) under uncultured bacterium. RNAcentral's name for it is "bacterial SSU rRNA". It matches the Rfam family "Bacterial small subunit ribosomal RNA", at positions 923 to 1471 of the family's 1533-position model. The record is from RNAcentral.